AAGUCUGUUGCCUUCAGAAUGGUGGAACAACUUUGUAUUACUGGGAUCAAUCUGUCUGCUCAUCCCAGGAAUACAAAGUUGCUUCACCAUUCCAAAGUCUAUGUAAUUGACUU
RNAcentral lists this microRNA precursor (113 nucleotides) under Callithrix jacchus (white-tufted-ear marmoset). RNAcentral's name for it is "microRNA cja-mir-9953 precursor". Lineage: Eukaryota; Metazoa; Chordata; Mammalia; Primates; Cebidae. The record is from miRBase by way of RNAcentral.